UCAGGUGGAAAAGCUGCAGUAUCACCCUGAACACACUACUCUUGUCUGAUUUCAGAAGGUAAGCAGGAUUGGGCUUGGUAACUACAGAGAUGGGAUACCACUGGAGCCAUCAGAAAUCCUCAUGAA
RNAcentral lists this ribosomal RNA (126 nucleotides) under Pogona vitticeps (central bearded dragon). Lineage: Eukaryota; Metazoa; Chordata; Lepidosauria; Squamata; Agamidae. The record is from RNAcentral.